UGUGGAAGGAGGCCUCGUGGAGCAGCC
RNAcentral lists this non-coding RNA (27 nucleotides) under Mus musculus (house mouse). The record is from RNAcentral. Lineage: Eukaryota; Metazoa; Chordata; Mammalia; Rodentia; Muridae.